RNA transcript from Brachypodium distachyon (stiff brome), 1228 nucleotides. It is a transcript of the gene named peptidyl-prolyl cis-trans isomerase CYP23, with no coding region annotated. Lineage: Eukaryota; Viridiplantae; Streptophyta; Magnoliopsida; Poales; Poaceae. The transcript has 9 exons. The record is from RefSeq and is a predicted model, not a curated record.
CUGCGCUACUCUCUGCUACUGCUAAUUUGCUAAACCAGCGCACACAAAAAGGAAACGAAAAAAUCGAGGAGAAGAAAAAUGGCGGCUUUGCUCCGCCACGUCGCCGCCGCUCUCCUCUACAUCGUCGCGGCAGCCUCCGUCGCCGCCGCCUCCACGUAUUACGCCUCGGACCCCAACCUCGGAUCCGCCCGCGUCGUCUUCCAGACAAAUCAUGGUGACAUUGAGUUUGGCUUCUUUCCUCGUGUUGCACCUAAGACAGUUGAGCACAUUUUCAAACUUGUGCGACUUGGAUGCUAUAACACAAAUCACUUCUUCCGGGUUGACAAGGGUUUUGUUGCACAAGUUGCUGAUGUUGUGGGAGGUAGAAAAGCCCCUAUGAAUAAAGAGCAGGAACAACAGGCAGAGAAAUCAAUUGUUGGUGAAUUUAGUACUGUCAAGCAUAUCAGGGGAAUUCUCUCCAUGGGAAGGUAUUCUGACCCAGACAGUGCCUCGUCUUCCUUUUCUAUCCUUCUUGGUGACGCUCCUCACCUUGAUGGCCAGUAUGCUGUAUUUGGGAGGGUCACUAAGGGUGACGAUACACUAAGAAAACUAGAGCGCCUACCAACCCGUAAAGAAGGCAUUUUUGUAAUGCCGAUUGAGCGUAUCGAAAUAAUGUCAACAUACUAUUAUGGUGGGUUUGUAUAAUUCUGAGUUUCUGACCUAAAGCUGAAGUAUCUGUAUGACUUCCCUGCUGGCAUUCUAUCCAGCACUCUUACUAUGACUUGUGUAGUUUCGUCUGUUCAGAUCCUAACUACCUGAGUAUUACUUCUCUCCCAGUGACUGGAUCACCAGAUUACUUUGAUAUUGAAGUAGAUAGUUGCGAAGCAGAGAAAUCUAUUCUUAGGAAGAGACUUUCCGAAUCAUCAUCAGAAAUUGAACGAUGGAGACGAAAAUGCUUUGCAUGAUCCAGCAAUUGAGGAUGAGAAAGAAGCAUCAUUUUUUUUGUCGCCUUACCAAGAGUCCAAGGCAUGUUUUAAAUGAGUGUUCAUAUGCCUCGCUCUCGGGGUUUAGAGUACAUGUGCAUUUGAAAAGGAAAAUUAUUGUACUUGUUGAAAUGAAUUUAUUGUAAUUUUAGUUGUGUUUCAUGUAACUGUUCCCAUGGGGAUCCUGUACUUGUAGCAAGCUUCAAUAUAACCAGGCCUUGAUUAGUCUUGAGAAAAAAAAAAUAUACCGGAUGUCUCUUUCACUA